Molecule: ribosomal RNA, 253 nt
Filed under: uncultured bacterium
Lineage: Bacteria
Description: partial 16S ribosomal RNA
Rfam family: Bacterial small subunit ribosomal RNA
Source: RNAcentral
UACAGAGGGUGCAAACGUUGUUCGGAAUUACUGGGCGUAAAGCGCGUGUAGGCGGCCAUCUAAGUCGGGCGUGAAAUCCCACGGCUCAACCGUGGAAGUGCACUCGAAACUGGAGUGCUCGAGCGUGGGAGAGGAAAGCGGAAUUCCUGGUGUAGCGGUGAAAUGCGUAGAUAUCGGAAGGAACACCAGUGGCGAAAGCGGCUUCCUGGUCCAGCACCGACGUUCAGGCACGAAAGCGUGGGGAGCAAACAGG